RNAcentral lists this ribosomal RNA (1964 nucleotides) under human gut metagenome. RNAcentral's name for it is "bacterial LSU rRNA". It matches the Rfam family "Bacterial large subunit ribosomal RNA", at positions 1 to 1977 of the family's 2925-position model. The record is from RNAcentral.
GAAAGUAAUGAAGGGCGUACGGUGGAUGCCUAGGCUCUUACAGGCGAUGAAGGACGUGAUAAGCUGCGAAAAGCCGCGGUGAGGCGCAAAUGGCCCUUGACCCGCGGAUCUCCGAAUGGGACAACCCAAUAUCUUGAAGAGAUAUUAUCCCGCCGAUGCGGGAGGCGAACGCGGGGAACUGAAACAUCUUAGUACCCGCAGGAAAAGAAAAUAAAGAAUGAUUCCCCCAGUAGUGGCGAGCGACCGGGGAAGAGCCCAAACCGACGUUGUCUCGGCAUCGUCGGGGUUGUAGGACCGCGCCAUCGCAAGAAAGGCCGUGAGUGGAAGCGACUGGAAAGCCGCGCCAUAGAGGGUGAGAGCCCCUUACACGAAGCAGCCCGAAGCGUAGCGGACUCCUGAGUAGCGCGGGACACGAGUAAUCCUGUGUGAAUCCGCCGGGCCCAUCCGGCAAGGCUAAAUACUCGUAAGAGACCGAUAGUGAACCAGUACCGUGAGGGAAAGGUGAAAAGGACCCCUUGCAGGGGAGUGAAAUAGUUCCUGAAACCGUACGCCUACAAGCGGUCGGAGCAUCUUGAAUGAUGUGACGGCGUGCCUUUUGCAUAAUGAACCUACGAGUUGCCGUCACCAGCGAGGUUAAGUGCGACGACGCACCGAGCCGCAGCGGAAGCGAGUCUUAAAAGGGCGCGAUAGUUGGUGGAGGCAGACGCGAAACCGAGUGAUCUACACUUGUCCAGGAUGAAGUCCCGGUAACACGGGAUGGAGGUCCGCACCAAUAAGCGUUGAAAAGCUUCUGGAUGAGGUGAGUGUAGGAGUGAAAGGCCAAUCAAACUCGGAGAUAGCUCGUACUCCCCGAAAGGCAUUUAGGUGCCGCCUGUGGCGUUCCCGACGUGAGGUAGAGCGACUGAUAGGAUGCGAGGGCUUCACCGCCUAUCAAGUCCUGACAAACUCCGAAUGCACGUCGGCCAAGCCAUGGAGUAAGGGCAUGGGUGCUAAGGUCCGUGCCCGAGAGGAGAAGAAUCCAGACCACCGGCUAAGGUCCCGAAAUACUGGUUAAGUUAGACUAACGCAGUCCGGCCCCCAAGACAGCUAGGAUGUUGGCUUGGAAGCAGCCAUUCAUUCAAAGAGUGCGUAACAGCUCACUAGUCGAGGAGCUGGGCGUGGAUAAUAAUCGGGUAUAAAACCAGUUACCGAAGCCGUGGGAUGCUUAAGCAUCGGUAGGGGAGCAUUGCAUGCGGCUUAGAAGGCGGGGCGCGAGCCCCUCUGGAGCGCAUGGAAACGCAAAUGUAGGUAUAAGUAACGACAAGGGGGGUGGGAUGCCCCCCCGCCGAAAGACCAAGGUUUCCUGAACAACGCUAAUCGGUUCAGGGUCAGUCGGGUCCUAAGCAUAAGCCGUAUGGCGAUGGCGAUGGACGAAACGGUUAAUAUUCCGUUACUGUCUUGGUGUGUGACGCGGCGACGGAGUAGUGACACGGCCGCCUCCUGACGGAAAAGGAGGUUGAAGCGCAAAGGUGUUGAGGAAGGCAGGCAAAUCCACCUUCCGAGCCGAAGCGCGAUAGUACGCUGCGCCCUUUAGGGCAAGGCGAUAGUGCCGGUAAUCAGACUUCCAAGAAAACCCGCUAAACUUCAGCAUCAAGUCACCCGUACUCUAAACGGACACACGUAGUCGGGUAGAAUAUACUAAGGCGCUUGGGAGAUUCACGGUUAAGGAACUAGGCAAAUUGACCCCGUACCUUCGGAAUAAGGGGUCCUCGCUUUUGCGAGGCGCAGAGAAUAGGUCCAGGCAACUGUUUAACAAAAACACAGGGCUGUGCCAAUUUGAAAGAAGAAGUAUACAGCCUGACACCUGCCCGGUGCCGGAAGGUUAAGAGGAGAGCUCAUCAGCGAUGAGAAGGUUUGAAUUGAAGCCCCGGUAAACGGCGGCCGUAACUAUAACGGUCCUAAGGUAGCGAAAUUCCUUGUCGGGU